AGACCUUAUAUUAAAGUAUGUAAUAUGCACUAGAGUCUAAUGAAAAAGAAAAAAUUGUAAGAUCAAUUUUGAGCAAUUCGAUAUACCUUCCAAAAGUAUGUCAAUGUUUCUUUAGGUUCUCCAAGUAUGUACCUCUGAACCUUUCAAGGUCCUUCAGUUACCAGUAUAUUGACUAAUUCAGUUAAGGUGCUAUAAUAUCUAUUCAUAUAAUAGUUUUAUAAACUAUCCGUAUGA
This 234-nucleotide long non-coding RNA is filed under the name Elaeis guineensis (African oil palm). Its description in RNAcentral is "long non-coding RNA (EGUI_LNC066518)". Lineage: Eukaryota; Viridiplantae; Streptophyta; Magnoliopsida; Arecales; Arecaceae. The record is from RNAcentral.